Molecule: long non-coding RNA, 260 nt
Filed under: Arabidopsis lyrata
Lineage: Eukaryota; Viridiplantae; Streptophyta; Magnoliopsida; Brassicales; Brassicaceae
Description: long non-coding RNA (ALYR_LNC001169)
Source: RNAcentral
AUAAAAAUUUUAAUCAACUAUUGUGAUAUACUGAUUAGAUAUUCGCCAUAUUAGGUGAAAUCGAAUAUCAAAUUUCAUCUUGUAUUUAUAUUUUGACUAUGAGAGAUGCUUCAAAUGGCUAUAUUUUAACAUGUUUCCAAAUUACGUUGGGUUUCAGAAAAUGAUUUAACUUAGUUGUGAGAAAAAAAAAAAGGAAAAAAUGGUUGUUUAACUAUUUUGUUUUUGUUUUUCUUUGACUAUAAUAAACUCCAAGGUGAAAU